UACGUAGGGUGCAGGCGUUAAUCGGAAUUACUGGGCGUAAAGCGUGCGUAGGCGGUUUUCUAAGACAGGUGUGAAAUCCCCGGGCUUAACCUGGGAACUGCGCUUGUUACUGGCAAGCUAGAGUGUGGCAGAGGGGGGUGGAAUUCCAGGUGUAGCAGUGAAAUGCGUAGAUAUCUGGAGGAACACCGAUGGCGAAGGCAGCCCCCUGGGCUAACACUGACGCUCAUGCACGAAAGCGUGGGGAGCAAACAGG
RNAcentral lists this ribosomal RNA (253 nucleotides) under uncultured bacterium. Its description in RNAcentral is "partial 16S ribosomal RNA". It matches the Rfam family "Bacterial small subunit ribosomal RNA", at positions 524 to 776 of the family's 1533-position model. The record is from RNAcentral.